GACGAACGCUGGCGGCGUGCCUAAUACAUGCAAGUAGAACGCUGAAGGAGGAGCUUGCUUCUCUGGAUGAGUUGCGAACGGGUGAGUAACGCGUAGGUAACCUGCCUGGUAGCGGGGGAUAACUAUUGGAAACGAUAGCUAAUACCGCAUAAGAGUAGAUGUUGCAUGACAUUUACUUAAAAGGUGCAAUUGCAUCACUACCAGAUGGACCUGCGUUGUAUUAGCUAGUUGGUGAGGUAACGGCUCACCAAGGCAACGAUACAUAGCCGACCUGAGAGGGGGGUCGCCCCCCCUGGGACUGCGACACGCCCACCUCCACUCGGGGGGGCAGCAGUCGGGCAUUUGCGGAAAUGGGUGGAGGUCCGCCCGAGCACCGCCGCGUGGUGAAAGAGGGUUUUCGUUUCGUAAACCUCUUUUUAAGGAGAAAAACGAGGGGGGGAGUGAAAAUUUCACACUGGGACGGUCUCUAACAAAAAAGGGCCGGCUAACUCCGUC
Molecule: ribosomal RNA, 495 nt
Filed under: uncultured bacterium
Lineage: Bacteria
Description: partial 16S ribosomal RNA
Rfam family: Bacterial small subunit ribosomal RNA
Source: RNAcentral